AGAGUUUGAUCCUGGCUCAGGAUGAACGCUAGCGGCAGGCUUAACACAUGCAAGUCGAGGGGCAGCGGGGAGGAAACUUGCUUUCUCCGCCGGCGACCGGCGCACGGGUGAGUAACACGUAUGCAACCUGCCCCUGUCAGGGGGACAACCCGCCGAAAGGCGGGCUAAACCCGCGUACAUGCCACCGGGGCAUCCCGGAGGCAGGAAAGGCUUCGGCCGGACAGGGAUGGGCAUGCGGCGCAUUAGGCAGUAGGCGGGGUGACGGCCCACCUAACCGACGAUGCGUAGGAGUUCUGAGAGGAAGGUCCCCCACACUGGUACUGAGACACGGACCAGACUCCUACGGGAGGCAGCAGUGAGGAAUAUUGGUCAAUGGUCGGGAGACUGAACCAGCCAAGCCGCGUGAGGGAGGAAGGUACAGAGUAUCGUAAACCUCUUUUGUCAGGGAACAAAGGCGGGGACGUGUCCCCGGAUGAGUGUACCUGAAGAAAAAGCAUCGGCUAACUCCGUGCCAGCAGCCGCGGUAAUACGGAGGAUGCGAGCGUUAUCCGGAUUUAUUGGGUUUAAAGGGUGCGCAGGCGGUCUGUUAAGUCAGCGGUCAAAGCCCGGGGCUCAACCCCGGCCCGCCGUUGAAACUGGCAGUCUCGAGUUGGAGAGAAGUAUGCGGAAUGCGCGGUGUAGCGGUGAAAUGCAUAGAUAUCGCGCAGAACUCCGAUUGCGAAGGCAGCAUGCCGGCUCCACACUGACGCUGAGGCACGAAAGCGUGGGUAUCGAACAGGAUUAGAUACCCUGGUAGUCCACGCAGUAAACGAUGAAUGCUGGCUGUCCGGGGGGACUGACCCCUGGGUGGCGAAGCGAAAGCGAUAAGCAUUCCACCUGGGGAGUACGCCGGCAACGGUGAAACUCAAAGGAAUUGACGGGGGCCCGCACAAGCGGAGGAACAUGUGGUUUAAUUCGAUGAUACGCGAGGAACCUUACCCGGGCUCAAACGGGGAGUGGCGCAGGCAGAGACGCCUGUUUCCCACGGGACACUCCCCGAGGUGCUGCAUGGUUGUCGUCAGCUCGUGCCGUGAGGUGUCGGCUUAAGUGCCAUAACGAGCGCAACCCCCGCGUGCAGUUGCUAACAGUCAACGCUGAGGACUCUGCACGGACUGCCGGCGCAAGCCGCGAGGAAGGCGGGGAUGACGUCAAAUCAGCACGGCCCUUACGUCCGGGGCGACACACGUGUUACAAUGGGUGGUACAGCGGGAAGCCAGGCGGCGACGCCGAGCGGAACCCGAAAUCCACUCUCAGUUCGGAUCGGAGUCUGCAACCCGACUCCGUGAAGCUGGAUUCGCUAGUAAUCGCGCAUCAGCCAUGGCGCGGUGAAUACGUUCCCGGGCCUUGCACUCACCGCCCGUCA
Molecule: ribosomal RNA, 1402 nt
Filed under: uncultured bacterium
Lineage: Bacteria
Description: 16S ribosomal RNA
Rfam family: Bacterial small subunit ribosomal RNA
Source: RNAcentral